GUGGUCGGUCCGUUCGACUUCAUUUGGCAUACGAACAGCAUUAGUCUAAUCUGUUCAGUAAGCCCUAUAUACUGAACCAUAGAGGGGAAAAGGCACAAACAAAGCCAAAAUAUUAGGAUUGAAGUGGGUGCAGAGGGUAACAGAGGCUGUAUUGGAUAGAGGGGAUAUUAGGAUUUUAGUGGGUGCAGAGGGUAACAGAGGCUGUAUUGGAUAGAGGGGAUAUUAGGAUUUUAGUGGUUGCAGAUGAG
Pelobates cultripes (western spadefoot toad) is the source of this 248-nucleotide non-coding RNA. The record is from the annotation of a GenBank genome assembly. Lineage: Eukaryota; Metazoa; Chordata; Amphibia; Anura; Pelobatidae.